GGUCAGGACGAACGCUGGCGGCGUGCUUAACACAUGCAAGUCGAACGAGGUUAUCAUCAGGAAGGCUUCGGCCGGAGAGAGGAUAACCGAGUGGCGGACGGGUGAGUAACGCGUGAGCAACCUGUCUUCUACAGGGGGAUAACGCCCCGAAAGGGGUGCUAAUACCGCAUAGGACCACAGUACCGCAUGGUACAGAGGUGAAAGGAGCAAUCCGGUAGAAGGUGGGCUCGCGUCCCAUUAGAUAGUUGGUGAGGUAACGGCUCACCAAGUCGACGAUGGGUAGCCGACCUGAGAGGGUGAUCGGCCACAUUGGAACUGAGAUACGGUCCAGACUCCUACGGGAGGCAGCAGUGGGGAAUAUUGGGCAAUGGGCGAAAGCCCUGACCCAGCAACGCCGCGUGAGGGAAGAAGGUCUUCGGGUUGUAAACCUCUGUCCUAAGUGAAAAGGAAGGAUGGUAGCUUAGGAGGAAGCCCCGGCUAACUACGUGCCAGCAGCAGC
Molecule: ribosomal RNA, 499 nt
Filed under: uncultured bacterium
Lineage: Bacteria
Description: bacterial SSU rRNA
Rfam family: Bacterial small subunit ribosomal RNA
Source: RNAcentral